Molecule: ribosomal RNA, 270 nt
Filed under: uncultured bacterium
Lineage: Bacteria
Description: partial 16S ribosomal RNA
Rfam family: Bacterial small subunit ribosomal RNA
Source: RNAcentral
GACGUAGGGCGCGAGCGUUGUCCGGAUUUAUUGGGCGUAAAGAGCUCGUAGGCGGCUUGUCGCGUCGACCGUGAAAACUUGGGGCUCAACCCCAAGCCUGCGGUCGAUACGGGCAGGCUCGAGUUCGGUAGGGGAGACUGGAAUUCCUGGUGUAGCGGUGAAAUGCGCAGAUAUCAGGAGGAACACCGAUGGCGAAGGCAGGUCUCUGGGCCGAUACUGACGCUGAGGAGCGAAAGCGUGGGGAGCGAACAGGAUUAGAACCCGUACCGU